Long non-coding RNA from Haliotis rufescens (red abalone), 5431 nucleotides. RefSeq lists it as uncharacterized. The transcript has 3 exons. Lineage: Eukaryota; Metazoa; Mollusca; Gastropoda; Lepetellida; Haliotidae. The record is from RefSeq and is a predicted model, not a curated record.
ACUCGAAGUUUUACAGACUGCCGUCAUAUAGCUGUAAUAUUGCUGAGUGCGGCGUUAAACAACAAACAAACAAACAAACAGUUACAGUGUCAAACUAAUAAUAUCAUUGAGCUUUAAUGAGUUUAUUUUUUCAAGUAUUUAAGGACGAUAAAGUCAGACCAAAUUCAGCUCCCGUGACGUGGAUGAAUCUGCCAAGUGAUUGAUUGCUUAAACAUAUUUUGUAACUUUGAACUAUUUUGUAACAAACAGCUGUGUUUGUAUAUUUUCGUUUUCUUCCAUAAUACAUGACCAAAUGACAGCCCUUCAUACCAUGUACCCGUACAUGUUUGAAAAGAGGCAAAUUUCGAACAGCCAUAAAUGACAUCACGUUUUUGUCAAUCGUCCAGGCGCCAGGUAUCGUAUGCCGCACAGACACUCGACUAUGAAGCAUAGUCUUGCAUGUAAGAUUAAGAAUGUGUCAGUUUAUAUGGGACCAGUGAAGCUUGAGGGCCCCGAUAAGCCUAAGUCUAACCCAUGACGUCAUCCGAUCCAGGUAAGAGACAGACUAGCACCGCAACUGUGGAAUAAGUUUUGCACUAUGUUGUAUUAGGAUCAGAAAGAAUUUUACUCAAUUGAAUAUUUAUGAUAUUAGUAUACCUGUCCUAUACAACAACUUUAAUGUCCUUCCGACCUUCCCCCGUUUUGUUUUGCCUGGCAUUCAGAUGUGAGGAAAAGGGAGGGCUCGAGGAACGUUAAAGUGACCUGGUGGAGAGCGCCCCCUUGUGGAGAGACGUCUGUUGGUUUUGUGUUAUACGAUAGGACAUUGCAGAAUGGGACACCUCUCUGUGCCCUCACCUAUUUUUAUAGGGUACAGGUGUAGUCAGCCGUGGUUAAGUGGGUAACAAUAGGGGGUUUACCUAUAGUAUGUUGCAUAUCUAUAUAGAGAAAAUUACUAUCUGUCAGAUUCGUAAAAUUUCAUAUACAUUUCAACAGUACAUUCACUUUACAGAAGCAUAUAUUUAAUAAAAUUUCAUGUUUCAUAUUGACAGAUUACGUAUUGCAUAAAUAAAUAUUCAUUUCAAAUUCACUUUACAGCAGAAAUAUUCAGUUCACAAUCCAACAUAUUCAGCCACAGCAUCAGCAUAUUCAGUUGGUGUCAGUCUGCCAUUCAACAAGUUGUCCUUCUCUAUCAGGAUGUUGUCGUCAAAUUGGAGAUAUUACUUUCUCUUUGGUGGCAGUCUUCCUCCGGCAUGAAUUUGCAUCCAUAAUGUCUCUGAACGUGAUUGUUCAUUCUUGAUAAUGUCAAUAAAUUUAAAGAUGUUUGGAUGACCUGGGAUGUUAUGGCAGUAUGACUUGCAAUGCCAUUCUAUACACUUCCAAGAUUGACAUCAUUCACUCAUAUAAAAUUUUAAUCAUCCCUAUGCCUUUAAUCAUGUACAUAAGAAAACUGUUCACCUAUUAUCAUCAAAUAACAGUUAGACACUAAUUGAACAGAGUUCACCCUCAGAAGAGGGUUCACUUUAAUGACACAGACUAUACCAAGCGAUUAAGUUAUCUGUCUCUUAAUCCCCUAUAAUCCACUGUAACAACAUUUUGGAUGAGGGCACAGUGAGGUUACACCUGCAGAAUGUUCAUCAGGAUAUGCAUACUGAUAUCAUAAUAUCAUAAAUAUACUAAUUUAUUAAAACAUGAAUUGUAAAUGGAAAUCAAUUUCGACCAUAUUUAAAAAUUAGCCUCUUCUUUAUGCCACAUCACAUAGGCAAUAUAUCUUGUGCAACAAAGUUAAAACAUUUAGUAGGAAUUCUUUUACUUCAGUAGGACACUUGGAAUGGCCAGGCACAUUCACAGAAGAGAAGGCAGCAUCAAAUGCAGCAAAGCCUUAGAUUUAAGGCAACAAUUAAGUUUUGGGAGAAAGUAGGGGUUAGGGAACUCAAGUAUUAGACCCUGUCGUUCAUGCCCUCAUCUGUCCUUUAAAUUAAGGUAUUGACUUUCGAUAACAAGCCACGAAAAGGCAUUGUAUUUGGUCAAUAUAAUAUGGCUAUUCUGGUGUUAAAUGAUAUCUUACACUUAUUUAUGCUCUAAUGGUGUUUGGGGAUAUAAUGUCAAAUGACUGGUUAAAAGCUCGAUUGAUAAAUAACAUUGAACACCGGUGAGUAUACUGUAAUAGUGUAUUUGGAUGUACAAAUAGAGCCAUUCUGAUACUGGAAAUCUUUUAAAAAGACCUUAUACCACUGCUUGAAAACGCAUUAGGCCUUACGUACAUGAAAACUUUGAUCCUUGGCUUCAAAAAAUAUCAAUUAAAGUCCUUGAAUUUGAGCUUUAUCAUGAAACAUGUGUGGAAUGGCCUUGUCCAUCUACGGGUUAGUUGUCAAUUGAAACUUCACAGCGGAGAGAUUACUUACUGUAAAAGGUGACUAUGCUUGUCGUAAGACCUGGUUGAUGCAUGUCAUCGUAUCCCAAUGCGUCGAUCGAUCCUGUUGGGUAGAGUGUCGGGUAGAUGCAGAAGACACACACCCUCCUCCUGCCCUCCUCUUCCCGACCCUCUCCAUCCUGCUCCUUCUUCUUUCCCAAAUCUUUCUUCUCCCCCAAAUCCUUCUCCUCUCGCAAACGCUGCCCUUCUUCUCCAUCCUCUUCCUCUUCCCCAUCCUUCUUCUCUCCCAAAUCUGUCUUCUCUCCCAAGUCCUCCUCUCCCAAAUCCUUCUCCUCUUCCCAAUCUAUCUUCUCUCCCAAAUCCCCCUCCUCUUCCCCAGCCUCUUCCUCUUCUCCAUCCUCCUCUUCCCCAUCCUUCUCUUCCCCAUCCUUCUCUUCUCCCAAAUCUUUCUUCUCUAAAUUCCCCUCUUCUUACCCAGCCACUUCCUCUUCCCCUGCCUCUUCUGUCUUCCUCCUCCUUCCUAUCCUCCCUGAAUGUCAGCAGUAGGUCUGGGAGACGACGAUGAUUUGGGGGACAUAUCAGUCGAUUCUCUCGAUUCCGACUCCGAGUCCGACUCCCAGGCAGAGAUAAGCGGUAAGUAACAGUAAUUCAUUUUCAGUAAAUUGAGUAUGUCAGUGUCAAAGAAAUGGUGGGAAUAUGAAUUUGUUAUGUUUUUGCAGUUUUCGUAAUUGUAGGCUAGAUCCACUCGUGACAGUUGUGAUGUUUCAAAUGUUAACAUUAUCUACCAUACCAUGAGGUCAUAGUAGAAACAGCCGACGUCCUUGUUUAGUAUUUCAUGAAAUAUGAAUCUUAGAAAUGAUUUGAAAGAAGGGCUCUCAUGAUAGUGAAGUUUUAACAUGUCUACAUGUGGCCUACACGUGCUUUUGGUUAAGUGCAGUGAUAUUAAUGGAAAAAUGUCUUUGUUAAAAAUUAAAAUUAUCUUGAAGGACACACUAGUUCACACUUUGGACCUGAAGCCAUAUUUUUAAAUGAGUAUAAUGAGUCAGUCCUCAAAUAUAAAAUGACAUUCUGCACAGGAGGAAUGGAAUGCCGAGCUCUUUCGUUAGGAAACGACCACAUGGGGGCUCGACAGUUGUGAGAAGACAGGGUCCACUGCUGGCAGUGCUCUUUUCAGACAGGAAGGUCUUCACAACCCUAUCUACUAUGGGUAGUCAAAGAAUCGAAGAUGGGCUUAACUCAAGGGGCCGGUCUGUCACUCUCCCCUCAGUCGUUAGACUUUACAACACUCUAAUGGGGGGAGUUGACAUUGGGGAUCAACUCAUUGGUGUCUAUGAUCCCCGCAAGUCCGCUCCGUGAAGCUGUGGAAGAAAGUUGUAAUCAACUUUCGUCUCACAGCAUCAGUUAAAGCAUAUCAGACAUUCUUGAACACUCAUGGCAGAACGACCACCCGUCUGGACUUCCACAUGUCUCUUCUCCACUCACUCGUCAAGAACACUCAGGUGAAGAGGAGGACUGGCAGGCCCAGGAUCCAGCCUCCUUCCCGACGACUGACCGGACGUCACUUCAUGGAAGUGCUGCCUGAAGGGAAGCGGAAACAGUGUGUUCUCUGCAGAAAGAGACAGAGGACCAUCGAUGGCUCCGCAGGAAAGGUCAGGACCUGGUGUCCUGACUGCCACGUUGGCCUCUGUGCACGCUGUUUACAUCAGUAUCACACAGCUGAUCACUUUGAAGAGUGAAAGGCUGUGUGUACUGGCAUAUGAUAGAACAUACACUCAUGUUCCAUCAUAUCAAUCCUUUAAGCAGUUUCCCCAUCUGUGACGUCAGAAACCUAUGAUUGUGGGUUCGAAUCCCGGUCGCCCCGGUCAUGUUUCUAGGUUUGUCAGCACCAUACCCGUGCUCGUGGGUUUCACCGAAGUGGUAAACGUCUGAGACCUACAUCACUUCGGGCUUUCCUCCAACAUUAAGCUGACACGCCGCGAUAUAACUGGAAUACUGUUAAAAGCGGCGUUAAACCCAACUCACUCACUCACUCACUCACUCCCCAUCUGUGUGCUUCAUUGUAAAUAACUAGUGAGCGAGUAGGACUUACGCCACACUUGCAAUAUCCAAGCGACAUCACAGCGAGAUAUUGUAUAUAUGUACUCAUUGUAAAUUUUUCAAAUGUGUGUAUAUAUAUUAAAGGAUGAUAUUGUGGAGAGAGUAUGACGUACAUAUGUUCAUAUUAUGUUCUCUUUUUAUUGUACAUGUAAUUAUUGUGUGUAUGUAAGCAUCUGUUCGUGAGUAGGACUUCCCACUGCAUCUGCAAUAUUCCAGCAACAUCGCAGCGAAUCUUUGUAAAUAGAUAAUACAUAUAUUGUAUAUAAUGUACUCAUUGUAAAUUUUUCAUAUGCGUGUAUAUAUAUUAAAGGAUGAUAUUGUGAGAGAGUAUGGCGUAACACCGUAUUUGCAAUAUAACAGCAACAUCAUGGCGAUUCAUUGUAAAAAGAUCAUUGUCUAUUGUAUAUGAUUAUGUACUUAUUGUAUAUGAAGUGAGUUUGUUUUAUGCCUCUUUUAGCAAUAUUCCCGCAAAAAUAUGUCAGUUUAAUGUACAUAUGUUCAUAUUAUGUUCUCUUUUUAUUGUACAUGUAAUUAUUGUGUGUAUGUAAGGAUCUGUUUGUGAGUAGAACUUCCCACGGCAUCUGCAAUAUUCCAGCAACAUCGCAGCGAAUCUAUGUAACUAGAUUAUGUAUAUAGUAUAUAUCUACUUACUGUAAGUACUCAAUAUAUAUAUAUCUGUGAGAAAGUAUGACUCAAUGCUGUAUUUGCAAUAUAACAGCAACAUCACAGCGAUUCAUUGUAAAUAGAUUAAAUUAUAUUGAUGAUACAUUUGCGAUAUUCCAGUUAAUUCGUGGCGAUUCAUUGUAUAUGGAUUAUUGAUCUUUUUUCACAAUUAUGUACUUCGUGUAAAUAGAGUGAGUAUGAUUAAUGCCGCUUUCAGCAGUAUUCCAGCAAAGAUGCGGCACUUUUUAAAAAAACUUUAUUGUACAUAGUUGAUAUAUUAUUCACAUGUAAAUACUGUCAAUAAAUAUGCAUAUAUUUAGA